UAAGGAAUAUUGGUCAAUGGAGGCAACUCUGAACCAGCCAUGCCGCGUGCAGGAAGAAUGCCCUCUGGGUUGUAAACUGCUUUUAUACGGGAAUAAACCCCACUACGUGUAGUGGGCUGAAUGUACCGUAAGAAUAAGGAUCGGCUAACUCCGUGCCAGCAGCCGCGGUAAUACGGAGGAUCCAAGCGUUAUCCGGAUUUAUUGGGUUUAAAGGGUGCGUAGGCGGCUUGUUAAGUCAGGGGUGAAAGACGGUGGCUCAACCAUCGCAGUGCCUUUGAUACUGACGAGCUUGAAUGUACUUGAGGUAGGCGGAAUGUGACAAGUAGCGGUGAAAUGCAUAGAUAUGUCACAGAACACCGAUUGCGAAGGCAGCUUACUAAAGUAUGAUUGACGCUGAGGCACGAAAGCGUGGGGAUCAAACAGG
Molecule: ribosomal RNA, 424 nt
Filed under: uncultured prokaryote
Also listed under: 1 other name
Description: bacterial SSU rRNA
Rfam family: Bacterial small subunit ribosomal RNA
Source: RNAcentral